GCGGGUGUCGUAUAAUGGUAUUAUCCCAGCUUCCCAAGCUGAUGACGUGGGUUCGAUUCCCAUCACCCGCUCCA
Molecule: transfer RNA, 74 nt
Filed under: Ectothiorhodospiraceae bacterium
Lineage: Bacteria; Pseudomonadati; Pseudomonadota; Gammaproteobacteria; Chromatiales; Ectothiorhodospiraceae
Description: tRNA-Gly
Rfam family: tRNA
About the family: Transfer RNA (tRNA) molecules are approximately 80 nucleotides in length.
Source: RNAcentral